UGUAGCUCAGUGGUAGAGCACUUGCCUACCAAGUAUAAGGUCCUGGGUUCAAUCCCCAAUA
RNAcentral lists this transfer RNA (61 nucleotides) under Ictidomys tridecemlineatus (thirteen-lined ground squirrel). Its description in RNAcentral is "Spermophilus tridecemlineatus (thirteen-lined ground squirrel) tRNA". It matches the Rfam family "tRNA", at positions 6 to 65 of the family's 71-position model. From Rfam's summary of the family: Transfer RNA (tRNA) molecules are approximately 80 nucleotides in length. Their secondary structure includes four short double-helical elements and three loops (D, anti-codon, and T loops). The record is from Rfam by way of RNAcentral. Lineage: Eukaryota; Metazoa; Chordata; Mammalia; Rodentia; Sciuridae.